This 630-nucleotide ribosomal RNA is filed under the name Triticum aestivum (bread wheat). Its description in RNAcentral is "partial small subunit ribosomal RNA". The record is from RNAcentral. Lineage: Eukaryota; Viridiplantae; Streptophyta; Magnoliopsida; Poales; Poaceae.
AUGACAGACGAGGAGAAGCUCCUAAUCCGAACUUUCAAUGUUGUGAAGCUACAAACAAGACAAAUAAUAGCAAUCCUAAGUUACUUGAGAGGCGGGAACACUCCUUACACCAAAAAGCAUGUAAGCAAUGUUAGAACAACCAUUGGCAAAGAGAGCAAUCAAAAUGACAUGAUGCAGGUGCUCACAUAUUUCAGGAAGAGACAAGCUGAAGAUCCACACUUUUACUAUGCGUUCAAAACAACUAAAGUCUCUGAUGACGCAAGUAAAGUUUUGUGCAUUUUCUGGGCUGACGGAUAUUCUAGGAAAAUGUAUGAGCUGUAUGGAGACUGCCUCAGCUUCGACACAACAUUCAAGACAAAUAGAUACAACCUCCCGUUUGCUCCCUUUGUUGGUGUCAUGGGACAUGGCCAGAACUGUUUGUUGGCUUGCUCUAUCAUAGAGAAUGAAACAGCUGACACCUUUCAAUGGUUGUUUGAGACAUUCUUGCAUUGCAUGGGUGGGAAAUCUCCGUCCACAAUCAUAACAGACGAGGAUGCUGGGAUGAAGACAGCUAUUCCUUUAGUUUUCCCGCAUAUCUGCCACAGGCGUUGUUUGUUUCAUAUUAAAAAUGGAAAUGGGUGUGGGUAUUAG